Herpailurus yagouaroundi (jaguarundi) is the source of this 2259-nucleotide long non-coding RNA. RefSeq lists it as uncharacterized. The record is from RefSeq and is a predicted model, not a curated record. NCBI's taxonomy places the organism in Eukaryota, Metazoa, Chordata, Mammalia, Carnivora, Felidae. The transcript is spliced from 2 exons.
CCACAGAUCCUCAGAGGUUCGCCAAGUUCUCAAGUGAGUAGGGAUUGCUGCUGCUGGGGAAGUCACAGGACAGCAUGAUGUGAGUGGGGAAACCUGUCCCCAGUUGGAGAGCAAGGCCUCGAGAGAACAGCUUAGGACACGAUCGGUGCACAGAGUGGGGACCAGCCUUGUGUCUCAUCCCUAAUGCCCAACUGAAUGAACUUUAACAGUCUUGCAGGGCUGCUCGGCCAUUCUCCACUUCUCCGCCUGUUUAAGUGAAAUACAUUAGUUGAUCUUCACGGACAAAGAGAAGGUCAUUAAUUAGGCAGUGAGAUUUGGGACCAAGAUAUAAUGGUUGCCUCUGAUAUGAAAAGAAUUGAUGAGGAAGUUUCCAAGUGGAUUAAAGAAAACCUUAGAUUGCUCCCCUGUGGAGUUCUCCAUGACUCAAAUGAACCAGGCAGUUCUCCAUAUGAUUUGGAACUGUGUGGAUGUGCUAUAAUCUUUUGUGGGCUCUGCCAGUUUUCCUCUCGAUCAGUGACUCUACAAAGUAUUGUCUUUCGUGCUCAGUUUAAAGCCUUUAAUCAAAACCUUUUCUGCUCCUCUGAGCUACACAAAUGGAAGGUGUAUGCGUACCUCAUUUCUCUUGCCUUUUCUGUAUUCAUAUUGGUCUCGGGAGAGUGACUUCAUAUGAUAUAUUAAGCCUUUGAGUUUAUGAACUGUGCAAUCGUAAGAAAGAUGGUUAUUCUACUUUCCAAUGUUCUGGGCUUUUGUCUUCACAUCCAUCCGUUCAAUUAACUCAGAUCCUAUUAAUUCUGAAGAGUAAAUGAUGUUGAAAAAAAAAAGAAGUGGCUUAUAAUCAAAUGAGAUAUUUUACUGACAAAGGAAAUAAUCUCAAGGAUAUCUGUGUGUUUGCAUAAGGCGUAGGUGAAGACUUGAUAAAUUCUGCUGGACGAGGUGAUGUGGGAAGACAAAAGUACUCAGUAAAUGAAAUCUCUGAGAGAUCUUCUGAAUCAUUUCAUAAAGCAAGUUCAGAAUUUGAGAUAGCCAAGUUUAAUUCAGUUUUUAAUUCAAUUGUUCAAGCCAUCAGCCGAAUCUUACAAUUUUUCUUUGGUUACCUCAUAUCACCCGCUGGCAAAGUUGAAUUUGUGAAUUAUUUGAUUUUGAUUGAAGGACCGUCAUCUCAGAGUCCCCAAAGACCUGUAUUUCGAACAGGAAGAAGAAAAGAAAAAUGAGUUACCGAUGCCCUGAAAGCUCUCCCCAACUCUUAUCAGGUGCUGCAGAUAUUCUAGAGAUGGAAACAAUAGCAAAGAUCCUGCAUCACUGCCGAACUAUUAGAGUACAGAGCAGAUGUUGGUAUGGGAGGACAUUGUUGUUGGAGCCUCUCCUGGGUCUGCCGAGGAAAAAGCUGGCCUUAGUCCUGCAAUAUGCGGGCCGAAUAGUUCUCCUUGGUUACGCGGACCCUCAGACUGCAUUGAAGCUAGUGAUGUGAUUUCUGCCAAGUUCACAGGCAGGUCAAGAGAGCUGUGUACGUACCUUUGUGACAUUUCACUCAAAAUGCUGGUGGUGGGGUGAGGGGCACAAAGAGUAAUUGGAAGGCAACGCCUUCUGUUUUAUGUCUGUUUUAAAAUGCUAAAUGUAUUUCUUUACAGUCAUUAAAAGAAAAGACUGAUUUAAAGAGAUAUCAAGGAUGUGCUAUUAAAUGAUGCACGCAUAGCAGGUAUGCAUUGGUUGAACAUGGAGAAAACCAUGGAAGCGUUCCUGUUUGGCUGUAUAUUGGCUACGCAGGCUGGGGACAUUGGGAAGAGUGGUGAUGUGCCGCUAAGAGGCAUCGUAUUCUUCAGUGAGCAUAUGUUCUCAUAAAUUUGGAAGAGAAAUGUAAAAAAAAAAUUUAAAUGGACAAUUAUUUAUUGCUCACGUAGUCCUAAAGCAACAGGAGCACACAGUUAAAAAAGAGAAAACUGCAUCAUCCAGAGUAUCAGCCCUAUAAUCCAUAAUCCCUCAGUUUUCUGUUUUCUUUACUUCUUGUCCUAAUGGGUAUGUGUCAUUUUUCAUAGUUAAAGUCAUAGUAAAAAUAAAAUUUUUAUUCAGUUUUCCUGACUUACCUUGUGUUAGGUGUACCAUUUUAUUUUCCUUUAAUGUUAAUCAUUUAAUUCUUGACAUAUUGAUAAAACACCGUAGAGAGUCAGUAGCGUGAUUUACUUAACCAUCAUCAAUUUCUGGAGAUUUAAAUGUUUGUACUUUUCUUUGUUAAAGAUAUUAAAAUAAUGUAUAGUUUCUGUA